RNAcentral lists this long non-coding RNA (401 nucleotides) under Androctonus crassicauda. The record is from RNAcentral. Lineage: Eukaryota; Metazoa; Arthropoda; Arachnida; Scorpiones; Buthidae.
GGCAAACGAACAUCAAAGGACAAAGAUUUUGAUAAGCAGAAAAUAUACACAUUAGAAAUUAAGCCAGUUUCUAUGAAAUUUAAGAAGAGAAUUGAAAAAACCACUGGCUCUAAGAUUGUCUUUAAGAGGAGGAAUACUCUUUUUAAUUGUUUAUGAAACGACAAAGAUAAAUAUGAUCACAACAUUCUACCGGGGGGUCUAUGAAAUUCCCACCACAGAUAAUGACCUGAGUCAAGACAUACGAUAUACAGGCUACACUGCAAGAUCACUGAAUAAGAGGCUAGAAGAACAUAAAAAAGUUAUAGAUAAGUCUGCGAGUGCAGCAGCACUAGCCCAAAGAGCCCUCUUUAGCGAUGUUGCAGUGGAGUGGGAGGACGCGGAACUCCUGGUGAGGCGGGGGG